RNAcentral lists this non-coding RNA (148 nucleotides) under Pseudomonas sp. IT-P291. Lineage: Bacteria; Pseudomonadati; Pseudomonadota; Gammaproteobacteria; Pseudomonadales; Pseudomonadaceae. The record is from RNAcentral.
CUCGUUGUGCGACCAACGAUAGCCUAGGAAGACAUGCGUCACUGGUAACGGUGAGGUGUGAAGCUCUUCUCACAAUGUAGUCCCCGUCAGGGUGUGCUUUUGCCGCGAGGUAAAGCAUAGAUACUCGGAGCAGUGCCGGGUUGAGACG